GGAUGUGAGGGUGAUCUGGCUGUGACAUCUGUCACCCCAUUGGUCGCUAGGGUUGAUGAGGCUGAUCUGGCUGGCUAGGCGGGUGCCCCCUUCCUCCCUCACGCUCAUGUGUGUCCCUCCUGAGGCUGCGCACUCUGUCGAGGGGAACCUUCUGCAGUAGAGGAGGACCAUUCUUCCGUCAAGGGUCUGUGAGUAGCUGCGCUCCYGUUAGAACCUCCAAACAAGCUCUCAAGACCCAGCCUCACCAGGGCCUCUCAUUUUCCAAAAGGAGGUCCAUUUUG
This 281-nucleotide small nuclear RNA is filed under the name Urocitellus parryii (Arctic ground squirrel). RNAcentral describes it as "7SK RNA (ENSUPAG00010009429.1)". It matches the Rfam family "7SK RNA". From Rfam's summary of the family: 7SK was discovered as an abundant small nuclear RNA in the mid-70s but a possible function has only recently been suggested. Two independent studies have found that 7SK RNA binds the CDK9/cyclin T complex (known as elongation factor P-TEFb). Lineage: Eukaryota; Metazoa; Chordata; Mammalia; Rodentia; Sciuridae. The record is from RNAcentral.